GACGAACGCUGGCGGCGUGCUUAACACAUGCAAGUCGAACGGAAAGGCCCUGCUUUUGUGGGGUGCUCGAGUGGCGAACGGGUGAGUAACACGUGAGUAACCUGCCCUUGACUUUGGGAUAACUUCAGGAAACUGGGGCUAAUACCGGAUAGGAGCUCCUGCUGCAUGGUGGGGGUUGGAAAGUUUCGGCGGUUGGGGAUGGACUCGCGGCUUAUCAGCUUGUUGGUGGGGUAGUGGCUUACCAAGGCUUUGACGGGUAGCCGGCCUGAGAGGGUGACCGGAGAAAGUGGGAGUGAGAGAAGGGGCAGAGGCGGACGGGGGGCGGCAGCGGGGGAGAGGGCAGAAGGGGCGGAGGUCUGAUACGGCAACGACGGGUGCGGGAGGGGGGCCGUCGGGUAGUGAAAAGGGUUCGCCUGUGAAGAAGCGGGAGUGAGGGGAGUGGAUAGAGAAGCAGCGGAUAACUACAAA
RNAcentral lists this ribosomal RNA (468 nucleotides) under uncultured bacterium. Its description in RNAcentral is "partial 16S ribosomal RNA". It matches the Rfam family "Bacterial small subunit ribosomal RNA", at positions 28 to 507 of the family's 1533-position model. The record is from RNAcentral.